CCAUCUAGUUUGUAUUUUUCAGUAUUUUUCAGUACUUUCAUAGCACUAGACCUCUCUGUAAAAUGCACAAAACCAAUUCUAUUCUUCUCCUGGCCAGACUUCGCGGGUGGCAAAACCACUUUUGUAAUUUCUCCAUAGUGUUCAAAUAGCUUCUUCAACUGAUCUUGGGUUGUAUUCUUUGGUAAAUUCUUUACAUAUAUUGCCUUAACCUAUGCAAGACAAGCUUGAGGUUAGAUAAGCAAAUUUAUAGUUCAAACAGCAAGGCAUCACAAUCAUAUCAAGCAGAUAACACCAAACGAAUAAAACUAGUUCAAAAAAUGGUAAGAUUCAACCCAUCAAAUUGAGGUGACAGUGUUCAUCUGAUCAAUAAAACAGGAGUUAAAUCCACCAAUCACUGUGUAGCCUUGGUCUUUCACCUUAUUGACUCACUACCAGUACCAUAUUCGUAAGUAGCUAUUUAAUAACACUCUGAUUUAAGUUUUUCUUCCCAUUUGCGUGACAUCAUGAAAUUAUGAAAGAACUUGUCCAGCCAUUUAAAAGACUGCUUUAAAUUUUUCAUUCCCAUUUACACGAUAACAUGUAUCCAAAUGGGCAUUUUGCACCUCAAACAAAAAUGAUUCUUCUGCACUCAUUAUAACAAACUAAUCAAUGGUCAGAAACGAAGGGAAAAUCAAUAUGGAUUAAAAUUAGAAACCUUUUACAAAACCAGAGGAGAAGCAGAAGUGUUCACUUGCUUAUGCAAAAGGUAAGAGUCUUGGGCUUCCAGCCACUAAAGUGAAGAUUAAAGUUUUUAAAGCAGUCAUUCCUUGCAAGAAUGUUGAGGAUAAGACUGUCCCAAGACCUCACUUGAUAAUAU
Molecule: unclassified non-coding RNA, 856 nt
Filed under: Hevea brasiliensis (rubber tree)
Lineage: Eukaryota; Viridiplantae; Streptophyta; Magnoliopsida; Malpighiales; Euphorbiaceae
Source: RNAcentral